ACAGUGAAAUGCUCUGAGUCACCUCCCGCCGUCCUCACCUGGGUUUUCGCUCCAUCAUAAAUAUCCUUAAUUACUCUGGUAUAUGCCAGCGGUACUCCACUCACCUCCAAGCAUCUCCAAAGCACCUCCCUGGGGACUUUGUCGUAUGCCUUCUCCAGGUCGAUAAACACCAUGUGUAGAUCCUUCUUCCUCUCCCUAUACAGCUCCACCAACCUCCGCACCAGGUGGAUUGCCUCCGUCGUCGAGCGGCCGGGCAUAGCACAAAAUUUAAGGAAAUAAAAAAACACAUAAAAAGAAAACUAAACAACUCUUUAAG
Molecule: long non-coding RNA, 316 nt
Filed under: Capsicum annuum
Lineage: Eukaryota; Viridiplantae; Streptophyta; Magnoliopsida; Solanales; Solanaceae
Description: long non-coding RNA (CANN_LNC016671)
Source: RNAcentral